This 406-nucleotide ribosomal RNA is filed under the name uncultured bacterium. Its description in RNAcentral is "partial 16S ribosomal RNA". It matches the Rfam family "Bacterial small subunit ribosomal RNA", at positions 30 to 526 of the family's 1533-position model. The record is from RNAcentral.
AUUGAACGCUGGCGGCAGGCCUAACACAUGCAAGUCGAGCGAGCGGCGGACGGGUGAGUAAUGUAUGGGGAUCUGCCCGAUAGAGGGGGAUAACUACUGGAAACGGUAGCUAAUACCGCAUACCAUCGGAUGUGCCCAGAUGGGAUUAGCUAGUAGGUGGGGUAAAGGCUCACCUAGGCGACGAUCCCUAGCUGGUCUGAGAGGAAGACCAGCCACACUGGAACUGAGACACGGUCCAGACUCCUACGGGAGGCAGCAGUGGGGAAUAUUGCACAAUGGGCGCAAGCCUGAUGCAGCCAUGCCGCGUGUAUGAAGAAGGCCUUCGGGUUGUAAAGUACUUUCAGCGGGGAGGCGUUACCCGCAGAAGAAGCACCGGCUAACUACGUGCCAGCAGCCGCGGUAAUAC